RNAcentral lists this ribosomal RNA (424 nucleotides) under uncultured Bacillota bacterium. RNAcentral describes it as "bacterial SSU rRNA". It matches the Rfam family "Bacterial small subunit ribosomal RNA", at positions 958 to 1385 of the family's 1533-position model. Lineage: Bacteria; Bacillati; Bacillota. The record is from RNAcentral.
AACGCGAAGAACCUUACCUAGACUUGACAUCCCCUGCAUAACCCAGAGAUGGGCGAAGUCCUUCGGGACAGGGUGACAGGUGGUGCAUGGUUGUCGUCAGCUCGUGUCGUGAGAUGUUGGGUUAAGUCCCGCAACGAGCGCAACCCUUAUCAUUAGUUGCUACCAUUAAGUUGAGCACUCUAGUGAGACUGCCCGGGUUAACCGGGAGGAAGGUGGGGAUGACGUCAAAUCAUCAUGCCCCUUAUGUCUAGGGCUACACACGUGCUACAAUGGUGAGUACAAAGAGAUGCAAGACCGCAAGGUGGAGCCAAACUCAAAAACUCAUCCCAGUUCGGAUUGUAGGCUGCAACUCGCCUACAUGAAGCCGGAGUUGCUAGUAAUCGCGAAUCAGCAUGUCGCGGUGAAUACGUUCCCGGGCCUUGUA